CUACGGGGGGCUGCAGUGGGGAAUAUUGCACAAUGGGCGCAAGCCUGAUGCAGCCAUGCCGCGUGUAUGAAGAAGGCCUUCGGGUUGUAAAGUACUUUCAGCGGGGAGGAAGGGAGUAAAGUUAAUACCUUUGCUCAUUGACGUUACCCGCAGAAGAAGCACCGGCGUAACUCCGUGCCAGCAGGCCGCGGUAAUACGGGGGUGCAAGCGUUAAUCGGAAUUACUGGGCGUAAAGCGCACGCAGGCGGUUUGUUAAGUCAGAUGUGAAAUCCCCGGGCUCAACCUGGGAACUGCAUCUGAUACUGGCAAGCUUGAGUCUCGUAGAGGGGGGUAGAAUUCCAGGUGUAGCGGUGAGAUGCGUAGAGAUCUGGAGGAAUACCGGUGGCGAAGGCGGCCCCCUGGACGAAGACUGACGCUCAGGUGCGAAAGCGUGGGGAGCAAACAGGAUUAGAUACCCCGGUAGUC
Molecule: ribosomal RNA, 465 nt
Filed under: uncultured bacterium
Lineage: Bacteria
Description: partial 16S ribosomal RNA
Rfam family: Bacterial small subunit ribosomal RNA
Source: RNAcentral